Molecule: ribosomal RNA, 429 nt
Filed under: Gemmatimonadota bacterium
Lineage: Bacteria; Pseudomonadati; Gemmatimonadota
Description: Gemmatimonadetes bacterium partial 16S ribosomal RNA
Rfam family: Bacterial small subunit ribosomal RNA
Source: RNAcentral
UAGGGAAUCUUCGGCAAUGGACGAAAGUCUGACCGAGCAACGCCGCGUGAGUGAAGAAGGUUUUCGGAUCGUAAAACUCUGUUGUUAGAGAAGAACAAGGACGUUAGUAACUGAACGUCCCCUGACGGUAUCUAACCAGAAAGCCACGGCUAACUACGUGCCAGCAGCCGCGGUAAUACGUAGGUGGCAAGCGUUGUCCGGAUUUAUUGGGCGUAAAGCGAGCGCAGGCGGUUUCUUAAGUCUGAUGUGAAAGCCCCCGGCUCAACCGGGGAGGGUCAUUGGAAACUGUGAGACUUGAGUGCAGAAGAGGAGAGUGGAAUUCCGUGUGUAGCGGUGAAAUGCGUAGAUAUAUGGAGGAACACCAGUGGCGAAGGCGGCUCUCUGGUCUGUAACUGACGCUGAGGCUCGAAAGCGUGGGGAGCAAACAGG